GAUGAACGCUAGCGGCAGGCCUAACACAUGCAAGUCGAGGGAGAAGCCCUUUCGGGGGCAGAAACCGGCGCACGGGUGCGUAACGCGUAUGCAACCUACCUUUCACAGGGGGAUAGCCCGAAGAAAUUUGGAUUAAUACCCCAUAAUAUUAUUGGAUGGCAUCAUUUGAUAAUUAAAACUGCGGUGGUGAAAGAUGGGCAUGCGCCCUAUUAGCUAGUUGGAGUGGUAACGGCACCCCAAGGCUACGAUAGGUAGGGGUCCUGAGAGGGAGAUCCCCCACACUGGUACUGAGACAGGGACCAGACUCCUACGGGAGGCAGCAGUGAGGAAUAUUGGUCAAUGGUCGGAAGACUGAACCAGCCAUGCCGCGUGCAGGAAGAAUGCCUUAUGGGUUGUAAACUGCUUUUAUAUGGGAAGAAUAAGGCGUACGUGUACGUUGAUGACGGUACCAUAUGAAUAAGCAUCGGCUAACUCCGUG
RNAcentral lists this ribosomal RNA (478 nucleotides) under uncultured bacterium. Its description in RNAcentral is "partial 16S ribosomal RNA". It matches the Rfam family "Bacterial small subunit ribosomal RNA", at positions 28 to 507 of the family's 1533-position model. The record is from RNAcentral.